Molecule: non-coding RNA, 668 nt
Organism: Ciona intestinalis (vase tunicate)
Lineage: Eukaryota; Metazoa; Chordata; Ascidiacea; Phlebobranchia; Cionidae
Source: RefSeq, a predicted model, not a curated record
AAAUUGCUUUCUAUUCUAACCUUUUUCUGGUCAAGAAUUGUUUGGCCCAUUACCCCAACACCCGGAAAACCUAUUGAAGUCUUUCAUGCGACCGAUGCCGCUCCAUCUCGACAAGUCCCCAACUCCAUUCACGACACACAAUCCAACCAGUCUGACCAACUCCAUCCGCGACACACAGUCCGACCAACUACAUUCGCGACACAUAACCUUUUCCUGGUCAAGAACCUGAGAUUUAGGCCAGGUUUGGCCCAUUACCCCCAACACCUGGAAAACCUAUUGAAGUCCUUCAUGCGACCGAUGCUCCAUCCGCGACAACGUCCAACCAACUCCAUCUGCGCGACACACAGUCCAACCAACUCCAUUCGCGACACACAGUCCGACCAGUCCACGCGACACACAGUCCAACCAACUCAAUCCGCGACACAAUUGUAAGCAGUAAUGAUUUUUUUCUCUUUAUGUCUUUACCGAUGUCAUCGGCGACGUCAUCGGCGACGUCAAAGAUGGUGUUACGGAAAUGUUAUUUUGUAUGACCAGUUUAUUCAUGUUCGUUUUCCACCAAGAAUGGCUACAUUGCGAUCAUUUUUAACCGAACACUUAUGGGUUUCACCAUUUAAGUCCUUUAUGCGACCGAUGUCGCUCUAUCUUGGACUCAGACGCAGUCCAACCAU